Musa acuminata subsp. malaccensis (wild Malaysian banana) is the source of this 1674-nucleotide non-coding RNA. Lineage: Eukaryota; Viridiplantae; Streptophyta; Magnoliopsida; Zingiberales; Musaceae. The record is from RefSeq and is a predicted model, not a curated record.
ACCUCUGAGGUAGAGCCCCGCAGGGGAGGAGAGCGGGACCUCCAGGAAGUGCGGGUGCUCGAGGUGGUGACUCCUGGAGAGUGCGGCGGCUGCUGCUUCUCAUCAUCAUGCGUCGGGGUCUGUCGGCAUUUAGUGGAGUGACUAGGGGCGGCAGGGAAUUCCGUGCGGCUCGAGGGCCCAAAGUGGCCAUCAUGAACAGGAGGAGGAAGACGACAUGGCGUACCACCACGUUGCACUUCAACCGGACAACUAGGUCUCUGUUUUGUUGUAUCUAGUGUAGAUGCGCUUGCUUUACAUUGCUCGUCCUGGUUUUCAAGAUGGGGAGUUCAUGGACUGGGAAGAAGCUUGUGAACAGGGUUUGCUUGUUAUUGGCAGAUGUUACUAAGACUAAGAACAGAAUCUGGAAAAUUGUAUCCUUUUUUAUGGAUUUUAAGUUGAGAGAGGUAUAUAUAGUUCAACACCAUUAGCAGUCCAGCAGCUUCAUAUUUGCGGCAGCUGCAUGCCCUUUAUGGUGGUGGGACAAGAUCUCAAGGACUUCUCACUGGUUUAUUCUUCUUCUCAAAAGCUUGGCUAUGCUAUGCACCAAUGGACACUGGAGAGAGAGGCUGCAGUGUGUGUAAAACAGAGAAUAAAGCACAAAGUGUGAGCUUUACAGGUGCUUUUGAGAAAGUGUGCAGCACUAUCAUGUCUUCCAAUGAGGUAAAGUAUACAGAGGUGCCUUUGUACUCCUUUUCUAGCUUUUGGAUCUCCUCUUGAGUUUAAACUUAAUCAUGAAGGUAGAGAAGUAGAAGAAAGAUAAAUCUAAAUUGAUUUGUACAUCAUAAGGUAAGAAAAUUCAUCAGAUUUGAUGUCGACUAGAGAGAGGAAACUGCAAACACAAAGCCAACAAUAUUACUUAUCAUGUUAGAUGUCAAUUAGUCUGAAUGCCUGCCUUUAUAUUUUUUAAUAACUUUAAAAGGGUAUGAUAUCAAUUUAAAUUUUAAAAUUAAUAUACAUAAUUACAUAUACACAGGUAUUUGAGAUUCAGAACAAUAUAUACUAAACUUAAAUUUAGAGAAGUACAUAUAAAUGGUUGUAAAAUAGGCAUAUAUAGGUUUGUGGGUAAUGGCAUACCUAUUCUCCAAUUGCCAUCUAUACACAAUCUUCCUUUCUCUUUAUAUUAUAGGACCAAUUCCAAGAAAAGAACUUUUUUUUUUUUGAGUUUUUCUCAACAUAUAUCCCUUUUUCAUAUUUCUCAAUCGAUGUUCUUUUUACCAUAUUUUCUAGAAUACCUUUAAUAAAGAGAUGGUAGCAACUCACCUCAAUUUUUACGGACUAAUCCAUCGAGUGAACCCAUCCAAUUCAAAAACACUGUAGCUGACGUAAAAGUCUCCAUUUUUUAUUGUUCUAGUUCUUAAACAAAUAAUGAUAAUUAGUUAAAAUAUUAUUAUUUUUUAAGUUGGAAUCUAUUAACUUUUUGAGUCAAUUGGCUUAGUUAUAAUGUUUUCGAAUAAUCUUUCGCUCGAAGUUUCGGUGAUUUUUGCUGGGGAUUUUGGUUCCUGUAGUCAUAAAUUCCCGUUCUUCGACCGGAUAUGAGCUGUUCUUGCCGAAACUGGUUCGUGAUUUGGUGGAAUUUCCGGGAGUUGGGGAAGGUUUGGGGAAGUCUGUCCUCUUUCGGAUUGAGGACGAGGAAGC